UGUAUGCUUAUGCCUGUUGAUGUCUGUUUAUGUGAUGUUAUGUUGAAGGUUUAAGCUAGUUUAUGCAUGUGGGAGAGUGUAUGCAUGAUUGGGAAAGAGCAAGUGAGGUUUAAGCUAGUUUUGAUGGUUUUGACUUAUAUGGGUCAUAAGCUCUUUAUGUAUGCUUUAUGAGGUUCUUUGUUGGAGUUUAAGCUUGUUUAAGCUCCUUUGUGCAUGGUUAAGGGUUUAUGCAUGUUUUGGUAAGG
This 245-nucleotide long non-coding RNA is filed under the name Manihot esculenta (cassava). Its description in RNAcentral is "long non-coding RNA (MESC_LNC008150)". The record is from RNAcentral. Lineage: Eukaryota; Viridiplantae; Streptophyta; Magnoliopsida; Malpighiales; Euphorbiaceae.